RNAcentral lists this long non-coding RNA (1157 nucleotides) under Homo sapiens (human). RNAcentral describes it as "HSALNT0320371". The record is from RNAcentral. Lineage: Eukaryota; Metazoa; Chordata; Mammalia; Primates; Hominidae.
UUGUUUAAAAUGUGAACCAACUGGUCGGGGACAGUAAUCUAAUUCUGCAUUUGGUUUGAGGCCAAUGCAUUGAGGGCAUUCAAUAAAUAAUGGUGUUUGGUGAGCCUUUCCUAGAUCCUGGCUGCUUAUGUCCAAGAUGAAGCUAGGACCUUCAGAAGCAAGCUCAAGAGAUGAUGAAUGAAGGAAGGUGGAGCUCCGAAGACCAUGAAGAACUGCUACAGAAGAAAACAAGCUUUCAAUAAAAUAAAAGAGACAUCAAUCACACAUUUUACCCAUUUAUGAAACAUGCUCAGGACAAGGUACUCAGACGUGAAGAAGCAUUCCCAGGAACCAUCUUGGAGAACUGGACUUGGUAACAUGAGAGCUGGGAAGUCCCAAUUCUUGGUCAUGAAGAGUCUACCACGAAGAGAAUUGGUUUGGAAACCAGAAGGCUAACUUUUACAUGAGGCACCAGGGCUAAUGCCCACAGAUUUCAGAGAGGACAAUAAUGGGUAUUUCUGAUGUUGAAAUCCUAGGAUUGAUCUGACAGCACAAACCAAAUGCCAGCAGUUUCCCUGGAGUUCUGCUGCGUGCUUUUGCCAACCCUGAUGAUCCAGAGGACCUCACAUCUCAAGUGGCUCCUAUGGUGAAGGAACUACGGAGUUUCUCUGAGCACCUAAGAUUACUCUGCUUCAAGGAACUCAUGAGUGUGUGGACAGAAAAUAUCUUUGAGGGAUUCCCAGGAGUGACUCCAAUGAAAGACCAAGAGAGAUUUGUAAACACCAUGAUAAAUGGGGAGAGGCACAACGCUGCAUUCCUCCAGCGGGUCCUCUGAACACACCACGUUUCGGCAUCAGUUGGCUUAAAUCAUUCAUUUCAAAUCAGGACUGAAAUUCUCCAGUGUUCCUGUCAGGCACCCUUCCCAUCUGAUCCCCUGGAAAGGAUAUGUCAGUCGAAGUCACAGGUAACACGGUGUAUUAAGACUUGAGAGCGUUGAUAUCAAAUCCAUUAACUAUGCUUUUGGUUGAAGGCGGUACUGACAAUAUGUAGUAAGCAAAGGGACGAUUUUGGGAAAAGGGGAAAAAUGUUGAAGGUUCUAAUGGCAAGAGUUUAGGCGUGUCUUCAAAUGUGCUAGAACUUUGUGCCUCCUGUGUUCAUGCUCUGUCCUUGCUGCUUUU